Molecule: long non-coding RNA, 2290 nt
Organism: Erigeron canadensis
Lineage: Eukaryota; Viridiplantae; Streptophyta; Magnoliopsida; Asterales; Asteraceae
Exons: 8
Source: RefSeq, a predicted model, not a curated record
UGUAUAUAAUUCCACGUAUCCCGCAGGUCCUAUAACUAGUUCAAAUUUAUAAAGUGAUCUAAUUCUAUUGUAAGGGAGGGAAAAGGACAGGAUGAGACUGGAAUGGGAUGAUGAACAACAACAGCCAUUAAACCACGCGCCAGGAGGAAGAGGAUGAAUUCUUCUUCUUCUUCUUGUACAGCUGAUCAGUCUCUCUACUUAUCAUGCUCAACAACGUCCGACAUAUGAGGUAAUUUAAUCUAUACGUGUUUCUUCUUUCGUUCUUUAUACCUUUUGCUACUAGUGCUACAAAGAUACCAUGUAUUUAGGUAUCAUGUGUAAUAGCUUAACCAUAUACUCUUCCUUUGAAACUAAACAAUGCACAGCCUAACCAAAGAUACUGUCUCAGUCAUGCCAAAGAUGAACUUGGAAAGACGUUUAAAACUUGUUUGUGAAUCUCCUCAGUUGACUCUUGCUCAAGUUUGGAUUGAUCACCCUGGUGUCAGUCACAGGUCCUCCCCCUCUUCACCCUCACUUUCUUCGGAGGAGGAGGAAGACACUCAUCAUCACACGAAACAAACUGUGACAUAUCUGGUCAAUUUGUGUGGUUAUGUUACCGACCCUAAAGGUAGUGAUGUAAAAGGCUACUCUGCUAACCUAGAUUACUAUGGUACCUGUGACGUCCUUGCCUUGAAAAUUGAUGACACGCUUGUUGGGCCAAUGCUUCAAACUCUAAAAACAGCCUUUUGCAAAGAUGUUAACCUCGGGGGUGACAACGGGAUGUAUGGGCUACUCUGUCGCUAGGCUAAGUGCAGCUGUUUUGCCAUAUGCUUGAGGAGCACCCACAAUGGAACAUAUUUUUGAUUAUGGUUUUGAAUACUUAUGGCCCAAAAGCCAAAACCAUACCAUCUUGUUGGGAUCUCUUAUUAAUGAUUACGAUGUGUUUGCCAAGCUUCAAGUUUGCUUUCUGGUGCACAACUUGGUGAUGAAGUACGUGUUAUAGAUAUUGACAAUUAUAAAGCCACCCGUAAAAUGUCAUCUUUCACGAUUCUCUCUGGAAACUGGUUCUCACAAACACCUAAAGCGUCUAAAGACUAUGUUGCUGCCCAGCGUCUCAGGUGAUGCUAACGUCUUAAUCUUCAACUUAUCAUGGUCGUCUACUCUUCUGUUACGAUGUAUCAAUAUGGAGGCAUGUAGCACAAUUCGGUCCAAUACUAGCCAAAUGAAUUUCCUCUGACCACAUUCCUAAUGUUAAUAAUUUUGUUGUUUAACCUUGUAUGAUUGAGUACAGGCGCAGGGUCAUUUACUAUUACAUGGGAGUUAUUCAAAAUGGUUGACGUCAUAGUUACUCCAACAACUGGGUCAAUAUCAACAUUAUGCCAUCGCUUGUGGUUUAUAAGGUUCCAUAGUGAAACAGGUGAUACUGAAUAUUGUGUAUUUUGUUAGCAUGACUACUCCUGUAGUUCGUCCAAGUUCAGUCAUGACGAGCGAGACAGAUAUAAAGGUAACAGGGUGGUGUGCUCAUUUUUCAGAUCAGAGGCCGCCCUUGGGGUGAAACUACAAUUCUGCUAAACAAGAUCCCGACAAUUGUGUCGACGAGUCUCAAGCUGGAUUUGCUUCAAAGAUAACAAUGGACUUGCACCCAGGCUCACAACAAUCAGGAGUGGAGACCGUGUUGACUGUUUUGCAUGUCGGUUGGAAAUUCGGUGAGGACAGUAGUGGUUGUAAGGUCUCGGGUGGACUAGAUGCUGCUUGGUCUCUCUACUUAUCAUGUUCAACAACGUCUGACUUACGAGUCAUGCCAAAGAUGAAAUUGGAAAGACGUUAAAGGUUGUUUGUGAAUCUCUUCAGUUGACUCUUGCUCAAGUUUGGAUCGAUCACUCUAGUGUCAAUCACAGGUCCUCCCCCUCUUCACCCUCACUUUCUCGAGACAUAACUGUGAGGAUUACAAAAUGACUGAAAAAAACUCGUCUCAAUUAUAGUGGCUUAAGCCACAUGAAAAACUUUCAAACAACGAAUAACGAGCCAUCGGUUUUCACUUCUUGGUGUUUUUAAUAUAAUCCCAGCCAUGUCUCGAAGAGCGGCCAAAACAAAGAGCUAGCAAAAUAAUUAAACAAGACAUGCAGGCGGCAGGCCUACAUAAAAACUGUCCAGGAGUACCAAUGGAGACACGUGACCAGCCACACUUUGAACUGUAGAUGGUUAGUUAGAAGGCUACAUUAGACGAGUUACCAUGUACAGUGUCAGUAUAUAAUCUUGUAUUAUCAUCAUAUUUUGUAAUUAAUGAAAUACACAAUCAAAUUUCCCAAAA